AAUUUUGGACAAUGGGGGGAACCCUGAUCCAGCCAUUCCGCGUGUGCGAUGAAGGCCUUCGGGUUGUAAAGCACUUUUGGCAGGAAAGAAAUCGUACGGGUUAAUACCCUGUUCGGAUGACGGUACCUGCAGAAUAAGCACCGGCUAACUACGUGCCAGCAGCCGCGGUAAUACGUAGGGUGCAAGCGUUAAUCGGAAUUACUGGGCGUAAAGCGUGCGCAGGCGGUUCGGACAGAAAGAUGUGAAAUCCCAGGGCUCAACCUUGGAACUGCAUUUUUAACUACCGGACUAGAGUGUGUCAGAGGGGGGUGGAAUUCCGCGUGUAGCAGUGAAAUGCGUAGAUAUGCGGAGGAACACCGAUGGCGAAGGCAGCCCCCUGGGAUAACACUGACGCUCAGGCACGAAAGCGUGGGGAGCAAACAGG
This 424-nucleotide ribosomal RNA is filed under the name uncultured bacterium. RNAcentral describes it as "bacterial SSU rRNA". It matches the Rfam family "Bacterial small subunit ribosomal RNA", at positions 360 to 776 of the family's 1533-position model. The record is from RNAcentral.